AUUGAACGCUGGCGGAAUGCUUUACACAUGCAAGUCGAACGGCAGCACGGGGCAACCUGGUGGCGAGUGGCGAACGGGUGAGUAAUACAUCGGAACGUGCCCAAUCGUGGGGGAUAACGUAGCGAAAGUUACGCUAAUACCGCAUACGAUCUACGGAUGAAAGCGGGGGAUCGCAAGACCUCGCGCGAGUGGAGCGGCCGAUGUCAGAUUAGGUAGUUGGUGGGGUAAAGGCUCACCAAGCCAACGAUCUGUAGCUGGUCUGAGAGGACGACCAGCCACACUGGAACUGAGACACGGUCCAGACUCCUACGGGAGGCAGCAGUGGGGAAUUUUGGACAAUGGGCGCAAGCCUGAUCCAGCCAUGCCGCGUGAGUGAAGAAGGCCU
This 385-nucleotide ribosomal RNA is filed under the name uncultured bacterium. RNAcentral's name for it is "bacterial SSU rRNA". It matches the Rfam family "Bacterial small subunit ribosomal RNA", at positions 30 to 417 of the family's 1533-position model. The record is from RNAcentral.